This 203-nucleotide long non-coding RNA is filed under the name Mustela putorius furo (domestic ferret). RNAcentral describes it as "lncRNA (ENSMPUG00000023902.1)". The record is from RNAcentral. Lineage: Eukaryota; Metazoa; Chordata; Mammalia; Carnivora; Mustelidae.
UGCAUUUUAACCUUUCCAGAUGUCCAUUAGAAUACCAGUGGAAUGAAAACUAUAAGAAAAAAAAUAAAUGUAUCAGCACAGGAGUCACGGAAGGAUUACAUUUAAAUUUCUUAAGGCUACACCGGGACCACCGAUUUGAACAGUAAUCAUCUGGUUUCCAAGUUCGUCUCAGGAAUUUGUUGUAAACGAUGCAAUGAAUAAAC